GGCCACCUUCGGGGGGCUUUACCAAAGGCGGUAAAACGCCAAAAUAGCAGACGGAAGACAGAAA
RNAcentral lists this non-coding RNA (64 nucleotides) under unclassified sequences. RNAcentral describes it as "L2-Alphaproteobacteria ribosomal protein leader". It matches the Rfam family "L2-Alphaproteobacteria ribosomal protein leader". The record is from RNAcentral.